RNAcentral lists this ribosomal RNA (468 nucleotides) under uncultured bacterium. RNAcentral's name for it is "partial 16S ribosomal RNA". It matches the Rfam family "Bacterial small subunit ribosomal RNA", at positions 28 to 507 of the family's 1533-position model. The record is from RNAcentral.
GACGAACGCUGGCGGCGUGCUUAACACAUGCAAGUCGAACGGAAAGGCCCUGCUUUUGUGGGGUGCUCGAGUGGCGAACGGGUGAGUAACACGUGAGUAACCUGCCCUUGACUUUGGGAUAACUUCAGGAAACUGGGGCUAAUACCGGAUAGGAGCUCCUGCUGCAUGGUGUGGGUUGGAAAGUUUCGGUGGUUGGGGAUGGACUCGCGGCUUAUCAGCUUGUUGGUGGGGUAGUGGCUUACCAAGGCUUUGACGGGUAGCCGGCCUGGGAGGGUGACCGGCCACAUUGGGACUGAGAUACGGCCCAGACUCCUACGGGAGGCAGCAGUGGGGAAUAUUGCACAAUGGGCGGAAGCCUGAUGCAGCAGCGCCGCGUGCGGGAUGACGGCCUUCGGGUUGUAAACCGCUUUCGCCUGUGACGAAGCGUGAGUGACGGUAAUGGGUAAAGAAGCACCGGCUAACUACGUG